AAAGAAUUAGUUAAAUUAACAUUAGUAUGUCAAGCUAAAAUUAUUAGUAAACUCUAAUAUUCUUUA
RNAcentral lists this transfer RNA (66 nucleotides) under Parachauliodes asahinai. RNAcentral describes it as "tRNA-Asp". Lineage: Eukaryota; Metazoa; Arthropoda; Insecta; Megaloptera; Corydalidae. The record is from RNAcentral.